UCCGCGCGGGGAUCGGCUCUGCGGAGGCGGCGGAAGGCGCGGCCGGCCCUGCGGAGCGGUGCGGGUCCUCUCGGAGAGCGAAGGGCUCUUCUCUCCGCCCUCCGGAUCAGUAACCCUCUGUACCCCGGCUUUCCUGCAAAGGAAAGCCCGGGUAGAAAUGAUUAGGAGCUCCGCCCUGGCGCUGUCGCUGCUGCCGUUAGCGUCCGCCCGACACAAGCCUGCCGCACACAGCAAACUUGGACCGCGUGGGGCGCGCGGGGUGCGCGGGGCUUCCCUGCCCUCCUGCUGCUCUCCGACCUGCCUCGCCCCUGGCCGUCCCAGCUCCCCGGGGUGCGCUCCGAUUGGGGCUGUACGAAACAGUUUCAGCACCAAAGACAUGGGAGUGACGAAGAUGCACGAGGCCUGGACCCUGCGGAGCUCACAUUCCGGUGGGAUAGAGACAGAAAACAGGCCCGUACUAUAAUAUCCGGUAACGGAAAGUAGGAAGAAGUAGGAAGGGCUAGAGAGUAACAUGCAGACUUGCUGGUAGGAAGGGCCUCUCUACGGGGUAUCAUUUGAACAAGAUGCCUCAAGGGGAGGAAGAGCCUCGGAUAGCAAGAUCUCGGACCAUGGAUAGAAGAGCGAAUGCAGAGGUCCUAGACCAAGGGCCGACUUAGUGUACUGGGAAAAGAAAGAUCAGUAUGGGUAGAAAAAUGUCACCGAGGAAAUGUCGCAGAAGGUAAAACAGAAAGGUAAGCAGAGGCCAGGUGAGGCAGAGCCGCUUAGCCGGUGGUAAGAAAAUUUCAUUUUAUUCUGAGCGCAGUGGGAAGAUAUUGAAGAACUUGCAUCAGUGUGAUAGAAUGUAAUUUGGGCUUUUGAAGACUGCUGUGGCCGUGCACACGUUCGAAGUUAUUAAGUGGCAUAAGCAACGAGUGCUUAGCGUGGGGAGGCUGCGAAGGGGACUGUUUGAAAUGAGCCUCCGUCUCCGGAUGGAAAGGCAGGAUCUGUGAUGGAAAGAGGAACAUUUCAUCAGUGUCCCCUGGCUGCGGCCUUAGACACCACAUGGCAGCGAUGCGUGCCCUGAAUGCUUGGGGCGCUUUCUACCCACCUGCCUGUAAACCAUGCAAAGUCUGGGGCCCUGUGCGCCUCCACCACGCGGGGCUGCAGAGUCGCCUCCACUCCCCUCUCCUGCUCUACAGUAGGUAUUCCUGGAAGAGCCGUCUCCUGAGGUUGACUUGCUCCACUGAGGGGGAUCUGGGCUCCUCCCGACUGCAGGGAGCCCUACAGCCCCCGGAUACACUGCAGUAGCUCAGUGGCAGAUUGGAGCUUGCCCAGUGCAGAUCGAGCCAGAAUGGAGAGCAGAGAAAUCUCCCUUCCCACCCCUACUCUCCUCGUGGCAAACAAACCACUUGUUCUGGUGACCGGUUGUGGCUCUGCUCACGAAGCAGGGACUAGCUUGUAACUCGUCAUCUUGAAUUUGUGCCCGAUCGUUUUCUGUCUAAUUUUCCUGCUCCCGUAUGCUCACGACCUUAGUUCACACCUGCCACAAAACCAUCAGUACUUAAGUCCCUUCUCCGGUUUUGUUUUCUACAGAAGCCGAGCUAAAGCCAGGGGAUCCAACCUCCAGUGUGAGGUGUGUUAAGGUUGAGGUUUGUGAUAAAUACAAAUAGGGUUUUGGACAUGUAUGUCUAGACUGUGGAGAAGAGGUCCAGGUAGGCCAAGGCUUCUCAUCCUCAGCACUGCUGACAUUUGAACGAGUUACUGCUGGGCUGUGGAGGGCUGUCCUGUGCAUUGGAGGACAUUCAGUAGCAUCCCUGGUCUCACUUCUGGAGAUACCAGCAGCACCAGUGCCCAGUUGUGACAACCAAAAAUUUCUCCAGGCACUGCCCGAUCACCUGCCCAACCACGAGGGUGGAUGUUGUGGUUAGAUCUGACAUGUCCCCCAGAUUCUCUUGUGUGUGGAAGGCCAUUGGACCAUGGGGUGACUUUCUGUUGGGAGGGGGUCUGGCUGGACCAGCCCCUGGGACAUCUCCUCACUUUGCUUCCUGUCUUCCAGGGGAUGAGCAGCUGUCCCUCACCCGAACCCUUCUCUUGGCCCAUUUCUGCCGACUCCACUGAAACCACCAAAAUAAACCUGUCUUCCUUUAAGUUGCAGGUGUGGGUAUUGUGUUUCAGUGACAAAGAAGGUGACUAAGAUUGAAGGAGAGCACUUGAGCACGAAGGUAGAAGGAGAAGAGGAAACAUUCAGAGAUUGUGCUUCAGGAUGGGAGGCCAGGCGGAGAAGGAAGAGCUGGCAACACAGCCAAGAGGGAGCAGCUGGCAAGAAACAGGAAAUGAAUGAGGUGAGUCCUGGGAUCAUCCUGGCUCUCUGCAUAGAGCUACUUUGCAGAAGUUAUGCAGAGAUGGAACCCAAGCAGAAUCUGUUCAUCGCGCUGAGUCCGGAACUGGAGUCUGGAAGGCGGAGAGGACUGACAGUCUUGAGACAGAGCACUGCAGAGAAAGGAGCUGCAGAGGGAAAAAGCCCCAGAUACAAGGCUCCUCCUUUGAGUCUGUACCUGAAUCCUAAACUACACCUGUAGGGUAAGACUCUACGAAGCCGAGUUCUUUAAUUAAGCAGUGCAGUUCAUUCUACUGAGAGACUCAUAGGAUCUUCUCAAUAGAGAAAGGAAAGCUAUUUGACAAAAUUCAACACACGCUUAUUAUUUAAACAAACAAACCUUUUGGCACCCUAGGAAUAGAAGGAACUUUCUCAACCUGAUAGAUGACAUGUACAGAAAUAACCUACAGCAAGCAUCGUGCCAGAUGAGUACAAGCCUGGAUGUUUUCCUUCCAGGAUCAAGAAAAAGGCACAUAUAUGCAGUCUUGUUGCUUCUAUUCAACAGUGCUUCAGAGGCCCUUGCCAGUUCAAUAAAGCAAUAAAAGGACACACAUUUGAAAAGAAGUAAAACUGUCCUUAUUCAUUGAUGGCACAGUUGUCUAUGUGGUAAAUCCUAAGGAAUCUACAAAAAAGCAACUGUAAAUAUUAAGUGAAUUUAACAAAGCUAAAAGUACAGAAUGAAUAUAUAAAAAUCAGUUGUAUCUCUGUCAUUUUUAAUAGCAUCAAAAACCAUGCAAUAUUUAUGUUGCAAUAAAAUAUGUUAGAUAUAAGACCUGUACUUAGAAAAUAAUAAAAUGCUGCUAAGAGAAAUGAAAGCCUCAAUAAAUGGAAAGAUAUACCAUGAUUAUGGACUGUAAGAAUCAAUAUUGUUAUGAUGGUGAUUCUUCCCAAAUUGAUCUAACAGUUCAGUGUAACCUCAAUCAAAAUGUCAGCAGCCUUGUUUACAGAAAUUGUAGAAUAG
This 3317-nucleotide long non-coding RNA is filed under the name Heterocephalus glaber (naked mole-rat). RNAcentral describes it as "lncRNA (ENSHGLG00000039389.1)". Lineage: Eukaryota; Metazoa; Chordata; Mammalia; Rodentia; Bathyergidae. The record is from RNAcentral.